RNAcentral lists this transfer RNA (70 nucleotides) under Hemiselmis andersenii. It matches the Rfam family "tRNA". Rfam says of the family: Transfer RNA (tRNA) molecules are approximately 80 nucleotides in length. Their secondary structure includes four short double-helical elements and three loops (D, anti-codon, and T loops). Lineage: Eukaryota; Cryptophyceae; Cryptomonadales; Hemiselmidaceae. The record is from RNAcentral.
GCGCUAUAGCUCAGUUGGCAGAGCGUUACACUAGUAAUGUAAAGGUCAUGAGUUCAAAUCUCGUUAGCGC